AAUUUUCCGCAAUGGGCGAAAGCCUGACGGAGCAAUACCGCGUGAGGGAAGACGGCCUAUGGGUUGUAAACCUCUUUUUUCAGGGAGGAAUCAAUGACGUGUACCUGAAGAAUAAGCAUCGGCUAACUCCGUGCCAGCAGCCGCGGUAAGACGGAGGAUGCAAGUGUUAUCCGGAAUCACUGGGCGUAAAGCGUCUGUAGGUGGUUGAACAAGUCAACUGUUAAAUCUUGAGGCUUAACUUCAAAAUCGCAGUCGAAACUGUUUGACUAGAGUAUAGUAGGGGUAAAGGGAAUUUCCAGUGGAGUGGUGAAAUGCGUAGAUAUUGGAAAGAACACCGAUGGCGAAGGCACUUUACUGGGCUAUUACUGACACUCAGAGACGAAAGCUAGGGUAGCAAAUGGGAUUAGAUACCCCAGUAGUCCUAGCCGUA
Molecule: ribosomal RNA, 430 nt
Filed under: uncultured marine bacterium
Lineage: Bacteria
Description: bacterial SSU rRNA
Rfam family: Bacterial small subunit ribosomal RNA
Source: RNAcentral